UGGCAAACCAAAAAACAUAUUCUAUCUAAAGUGGAUGGCCACAACUUGCUCCAGCUGUGGAAACUUGGGCCAUGUACUGCUAGAUCUAAGGAUUUUCUUUUGAGAGAUGCUAGAUAUAUACGUUUUUUAAAAAUAAAAUUAUCCUGAUUUUAACAACAUUGCCUUAUUAUAUAAAACAUACCUUGGAGGGUGUGGGUAAGACACAAUGUCCUUGAAAUUAUAUUUCACUAGGUUAAUAAAAUUGGCUCCGGAAGAAAAUAAUUUUAAACAGCAAACCAAAAAGUGAAGGCCUUCAAAACUAACAAACCAAAGGAAAACAAAACAAAAUGACAACAAGAAAAAAACAAAGAAACAAAACCCCUGGACCUUACCAUUUUUCUAAGGCAUGUUGACAUGAUAAAAUCAAAAUUGCUUUGUGCUUAUAAGGAUCAAAGGUUAUGCUUUUGACUUUAUAAAUUCAGAGAAAGAAUUUAAUUGGAAUUAUUUUUAUGAAUUAACUGAAGAUCUAAGGCAACUGGAUAAUUUAGGUUCUGCUAAUAUCUAGAAUAUUCAAAGUUUAUGUUUAGUCUGACACUAAAGAAUCCAUUAUUUCUCUUGACUUCCAGGCUGGUCAGUGUCUUUCCUGUGUCAUAUACCAAACAAUGUGUUAGAAAUUGUCUUCUCACUCAUAAACUAAUAUUUGUUCAGAGUAAAAAGUCAAGCAAGUAAAUAAUGAGAAAAAAUUCAGUGUAUUGUAUAAACAAAGACAGAAGGCAGACCAAUGGUUACCUGGGGCCUAAGCUAAAGAGAUUAAUUGUACACAGACACAAAGGAAUUUUUUGGGAUGGUGAAAGUGUUCUAAAACUGGAUUGGGAUGAUUGUGGCACAACUGUAUAAAUGUUAUUAAAACUCAUUGAGUUGUACACUUAAAUGAGUGGCUAAGUUGUGCUUUAAUAAAGCUGUAAUUUUGAAAAAGAAUAAUGGAUGAUCAACUGUGGGCUAGAGUAUGAUGAAAACACAAGACAUUUACAUAGUUUCAAAGUAUCUCCCCAUCAGGUACUUAUUAACUGCAUCAGGGAAACAGUAAUUUUCUUGUGGCAGAACCCUGCUGACAAAGUUAACAUUCUAGUAAAAGCACAGGUGGAUGUCAUGUGCCUCCUGAAGUGAUGCACAGAGAAGGAUGCAACAUCAACUUGUAGUAUCCCUGCCAAAAAUAUAAAACCUGAAUUUAACCAUGCUGAAACAUAAGACAAAUCCAAGUGAAGGAACAUUCUACAAAACAACUGACCAGUACUCCUCAAGAGUGUCAAGGUCCUGGAAGACAAAGACUGAGCAAUGCUUCUGAUUAAAGUAGACUGAGAGGUGACAACUGAAUGCAAUGUGGGAUUCUGGAUUAGGUCUUGGCCCAGAAACAGGUCUUCGGUGGGACAACUGGCAAAAUGUGAAUAAGGUCUCUGGUUUUGUGAAUGGUAGCGUAUCGACGCUCAUUACCUGCUUUUGAUCAUGGUAGUGAUAGUAAGAUAUUAACAUUCAGGAAAGCACAGUGAAGGGUAUAUGGGAACCUCUACUAUUUUUGUAGCUUUUGUAAGUUGAAAUUGUUUCAAAAUGAGUUAGAAAAUUAAAAGGAAGUUUUCUCUUUCAGCUGGGAAAACGGCAAUGGAUUAAUAACAAGAAAUUAAUGGUGAAGUGGUGACGAAAAUUCUACAUUGCUUAGAAAGCAAAUAGUGAAAUGAACAUUUACAUUCUGGCAACCUCAGAAGUACAACGAACAAAGGACACCAGCCAGGUAGGGCAAAGGCCUGUGAACCCCCUUUUGCUGUUAAAUGUUUAUCAGAUGAGUGCUCUGUUUCUGUUAUAUUAUAUUGCUUUUCUCUCCAAUGUUUACUGAGGAAGAACAAGUAGCUCCUCAGGCAAGUCAACUGUUAACUUUGCAGUUUUUAUUUAAUCUCCCAGGAAUGUAACCCUUAACUUUAAAGAAUGUAGUGACCAUAAAACUUAUAAAGCAUGUUUCUUAAGGAAAUUGUACCUGUUUAUUUAAUCUAUCAGAUAUGAAUGUUAUAGAAAAUUAAAUUUGUCCACUUAAGCUGUAGAUGAACUUUUCACCUUUCUGAUCAGAAAUUCACCAUCUUAUAGUAUAGGUUCUGUUAUUAAUCAGAAUAUUUCAUUUAGACUCUUUCUAUCCAACUUUUUCUUAGAGGCUAUUCAAAAUAAAGGUGCUUCUAACAGUUUCAUAUCGAAAUACGAUGCAAAGCCUUGCUCUUCCAUGGUAUCCUUUGAGUGAGCCAAACUUAUUUAGCCAUUCCCCUAUAGUUAAAUAGCUAGGAUGUUUCCAACAUCUCACCUUUAAAACAAUAGUGCUAUGAAUGUCAUAAAUGUUUGUAUAUGUAAAUAUGUAGGAUAAAUCCCUAUCAGUAGAAUUUCAAAAGGUAUACGCAAUCAGUAUUUUCAUACAUAUUUAAAAUUUUCCAUCCAUACAAAGGUUGCUAACAUAUUUAUUUAAAAUUUUAAAAAUAAUUUUAUAUGCCUCUUGUAACCAGUAAUAGGAUGCAAAGUUUUUUUUAAGGUAACAUUGCUCCUCUUCCCCCAUUGUCUCUGUCAUCUAUAGUACUCCCUGAGGUAGUUCAUGUUAUUGCAAGGGUGUGUAUCAUCACAAACAUAUUGCUUCCACAUACAUAUAUCAGCAUACAUAUAUAUAUAUGUAUAGCAUAUAUAUAUAUGAGCACAUAUUAAUAUAUGCCCAUGCACAUACAAGCAUGUUUUUGUUAAUUUUUACUGAAAUGGAAUCAUACUGCAUACUUAUGAACAAAUUGCUUCUUUCACCUUAUAUCACUUAUAAUUGUUAUUCUACAAAUCAGUACAUAUAAAAAAUACAUAUUUACAUAUGUAAUACUCUAUCUUUCUGUUAUAAUUUUCUGCAUGCACAUGUAUGCAUAUACAUAUAUUCAUAAACAUAAAACUUAAUCUAAACGGGAUUUUUUUUGGGGGGGGUGAUAUGGUUUGGCUGUGUCCCCACCCAAAUCUCAUCUUGAAUUCCCAUGUGUUGUGGGGGGACCCGGUGGGAGGUAAUUGAAUUAUGGGGGCAGGUCUUUCCUGUGCUGUUCUCGGGAUAGUGAAAAAGUCUCACAAGAUCUGAUGGUUUUAAAAAGAUGAGUUUCCCUGCAUAAUCUCUCUUCUCCUGUCUGGUUCCAUGUGAGAUGUGCCUUUUGCCUUCCGCCAUGAUUGUGAGGCCUCCCCAGCCAUGUGGAACUGUAAGUCCAAUAAACCUCUUUCUUUUGCAAAUUGCCCAGUCUCAGGUAUGUCUUUAUCAGCAGCAUAAAAAUGAAACAAUACAGUAAAUUGGUACAAGUAGAGUGGGGCGCUGCUGAAAAGAUACCUGAAAAUGUGGAAGAAACUUUGGAACUGGGCAACAAGCAGAGGUUGGAACAGUUUUGAGGGCUCAGAAGACAGGAAUAUGUGGGAAAGUUUGGAGCUUCCUAGAGACCUGUUGAACGACUUUG
Molecule: long non-coding RNA, 3476 nt
Filed under: Homo sapiens (human)
Lineage: Eukaryota; Metazoa; Chordata; Mammalia; Primates; Hominidae
Description: non-protein coding lnc-CBWD5-1:1
Source: RNAcentral